RNAcentral lists this ribosomal RNA (380 nucleotides) under uncultured eukaryote. RNAcentral describes it as "partial 18S ribosomal RNA". It matches the Rfam family "Eukaryotic small subunit ribosomal RNA", at positions 592 to 976 of the family's 1831-position model. The record is from RNAcentral.
CAAUAGCGUAUAUUAAAGUUGUUGCAGUUAAAAAGCUCGUAGUUGGAUUUGUGGCGUACGGUGUGUUCCGGGCACUUGUUGUCUGAGUAACCUGCUGUUGCCAUCCUUGGGUGGAACCUGUGUGGCAUUAGGUUGUCGUGCAGGGGAUGCCCAUCAUUUACUGUGAAAAAAUUAGAGUGUUCAAAGCAGGCUUAUGCCGUUGAAUAUAUUAGCAUGGAAUAAUGAGAUAGGACUUUCUUGCUAUUUUGUUGGUUUGCGCAAGGAGGUAAUGAUUAAUAGGGACAGUUGGGGGUAUUCGUAUUCCAUUGUCAGAGGUGAAAUUCUUGGAUUUUUGGAAGACGAACUACUGCGAAAGCAUUUACCAAGGAUGUUUUCAUUAA